RNAcentral lists this ribosomal RNA (469 nucleotides) under uncultured bacterium. RNAcentral's name for it is "partial 16S ribosomal RNA". It matches the Rfam family "Bacterial small subunit ribosomal RNA", at positions 28 to 507 of the family's 1533-position model. The record is from RNAcentral.
GACGAACGCUGGCGGCGUGCUUAACACAUGCAAGUCGAACGGAAAGGCCCUGCUUGCAGGGUGCUCGAGUGGCGAACGGGUGAGUAACACGUGGGUGAUCUGCCCCUUACUUUGGGAUAAGCCUGGGAAACUGGGUCUAAUACUGGAUAGGACCAUGCUGUAGGUGGUGUGGUGGAAAGAUUAGUUUCGGUAAGGGAUGAGCUCGCGGCCUAUCAGCUUGUUGGUGGGGUAAUGGCCUACCAAGGCGUCGACGGGUAGCCGGCCUGAGAGGGUGGACGGCCACAUUGGGACUGAGAUACGGCCCAGACUCCUACGGGAGGCAGCAGUGGGGAAUAUUGCACAAUGGGCGCAAGCCUGAUGCAGCGACGCCGCGUGGGGGAUGACGGCCUUCGGGUUGUAAACUCCUUUCAGCCAUGACGAAGCCCUUGUGGUGACGGUAGUGGCAGAAGAAGCACCGGCUAACUACGCG